GGCCACCAGUUCAUCAACCAGCUCCUGGCCCAGGCGUCCAAAGUGGGUCUUGUCACGGUAGCUCCAGGGUAGCUGAUCCGGGGAGACCUCCUGGGAAGGCGAGAGAGAGCAGGGAGGACUCCUGGGGGUUCUCGGUGUUCACCCAGCCAGCUCUGGACAGCCAGCUCUGCCACAGCAGGACACGGGAGAAACCCUUCACCAAAAGAAGCUUCUAACUCAACUGUCACUGCCAUGUUCUCCCCAACCUCUUGGUUCCACUGGCCCUACCCGAAUUGUGCACCCUAAGAUGAACUGACUCUGGUUACUCCUCAGUGAGGCGGAACCCUUUAGCAAUGGCAGGUAGGCUGAUAGGUGCUAUGACAGCAGGAGCACCAGCAGCACCCAGGGACCCGUGACUGCAGGAUGGACUUCUCUACCCAUCAGCAGAUCCAGAAAAGAUUUCCAGAAAUGGAAUUACUGGGUCAAAGGAUUCUCAAGACUCUUGAUACACACGACUGGACUUCUUCCCAGGAAUGAGGCAGCGAUGAGAAAUGACCAGUUCUUUCUGGGAAAGGUGGGCAAAGCAAGCGUGCUGUGGAGACGAGGCAAGAGCCUUCCAGUCUAGAAGUGAGUGUGGGCUGUGCCAGCUUCCUGAGGAGAAGAUGCAAUCGGAACAGCAUCUAAGAGUCAGAGGGCAUCAGGGUCCUGAGCUCUGGGUCCUCAAACCUGAUCUUCUGAGGCACGGCAGCCAUCAACGGUUUUGGAGUAAAGGGGA
Molecule: long non-coding RNA, 754 nt
Filed under: Rattus norvegicus (Norway rat)
Lineage: Eukaryota; Metazoa; Chordata; Mammalia; Rodentia; Muridae
Description: long non-coding RNA NONRATT023446
Source: RNAcentral